This 314-nucleotide ribosomal RNA is filed under the name uncultured Glomus. Its description in RNAcentral is "SSU rRNA". It matches the Rfam family "Eukaryotic small subunit ribosomal RNA", at positions 569 to 887 of the family's 1831-position model. The record is from RNAcentral. Lineage: Eukaryota; Fungi; Glomeromycota; Glomeromycetes; Glomerales; Glomeraceae.
AGCAGCCGCGGUAAUUCCAGCUCCAAUAGCGUAUAUUAAAGUUGUUGCAGUUAAAAAGCUCGUAGUUGAAUUUCGGGGUUAGCAGGUUGGUCGUGCCACUGGUAUGUACUGGCCUUGCUGAUUCCUCCCUCUUGAUGAGCCGUAAUGCCAUUAAUUUGGUGUUGCGAGGAAUCAGGACUGUUACUUUGAAAAAAUUAGAGUGUUUAAAGCAGGCAAGCGCUUGAAUACAUUAGCAUGGAAUAAUGAAAUAGGACGUUUGAUCUUAUUUUGUUGGUUUCUAAGAUUGACGUAAUGAUUAAUAGGGAUAGUUGGGG